AGGGUUUCACCAUGUUGGCCAGGCUGAUCUUAAAUUCCUAACCUCGUGAUCUGCCCACCUCAGCCUCCCAAAGUGCUAGGAUUACAGGCGUGAGGCACAGUGCCAGGCCUUGUUUGAUGUUUUCAGAUUCACCCUUUAUCUUACAUGUAGAAUGGCCGAAUUACUUACUUACUUCUUUAUGCUCUACAGGUCUUUGUUCAUACUAGAAUAGCAUUUAUUAUCCCAUAGGUCAUGGUUUGACUGCUUUUGUGUUCCAUGCACACUGUAGGCACUCAGUAAAGAGCUGCCUUGGUUUUUAGCUUGGCGGUCUUAAUAGAUGCAUUUUAUACUGAGGUUUUAAACUGUCGUCAUUGCUAAAAACUAGAUUUGUCAACUUGUUUAGUACCUCAUCAUCGGCUUACUGUGGAUUCUGCUACCUUGACCAACAAGGUAGCAGAGUUUUAAUUAUAAUUUCUUCUUUAAUAAGACGUUUUCUGAGGCAGGUAAACUGGAAGUAUAUUGAUACUUCUUAUACAGUAGAAUAUGAAAGUGUGGCACGUGGCAUCUUGAAAGUACUUUAAAUUGUGUACCUUUGAGUUCUACACUGAAAAAUAAAACGGCUACAAACAACUUGACACCCUUUCCUGCCCUCAAAUUGUUUAGAACUGAAAAUAGUGUUUCGUUGUACAUAUUUGUAUGCCAUAAAGUAAAAUUUUUUUAACAUCAGAAAACAUCUAAAUAUAUUACCAGUUCUUUAAGAAUAAACACCCCUUCCCUUAUGUAUUAUACUAUUACUAAUUACUUUAAAAAAAUUAGUAUUAUUUUUAAUAUAAAAUAUUUGGCAACUUGACUUUUAUUAUACUUUGGUUGCUCUUUUCACAUCUUACAGUUUAAAGUACUUUCUGAUAUCUUGUCUUUGCAAUGUUUUAGUGAUGAGAAGACCCAUUGAUUAGACUGACUACACAGUACCUCUGAGAAUUAUGGGUAUUAUCUCUAAGUUCCUAAAAGGAGACUUGUGCACAGGGCUAGUUCCUGGCAGUAAGAAACACACUGCCUUAGCUUUUUGGAAAGUUUACUGUCCGUUCCAUAUUGACCACUAGUGGAAAAUUUGUUGUUAGGCAUUUAGCAGGUAAUAAAUGUGCUCCAAAUUGCUUUUCCUUCUCUUAUUUUUAUUCUUAUGAGACAGUAAGGCAGUUGUUAUUUCUACUUACGAAUUAGGGGUCCUGGGAUAUACGUGCCUAAAUUAUAUUGACAGCCAGUUGUGCAGCUGCCUUACACAACCUAUCUACAAUGUUUUUUCAGUGAGACCUACUGACUUAUACACAUUGAAUUGUACUCCAGUGUGAAGUCCUGUAUAAAUAAAAGAAAAUGAACUUGCAUCAAGUUGA
Molecule: long non-coding RNA, 1367 nt
Organism: Sapajus apella (tufted capuchin)
Lineage: Eukaryota; Metazoa; Chordata; Mammalia; Primates; Cebidae
Exons: 2
Source: RefSeq, a predicted model, not a curated record